AUGCAGAGGUGCCUACUCAAGCUCUGGGGGAAGUUGCAAGCAAAGGAUGAAGAGAUAAGCAGGCUUAAAAUGGAUAUUGAACAAGUGAACCUUAAGCUAGAGAACCUUGUUGCAGCUGUGGAAAGAAGUAAUGUAACUACCAUGAAGAUUGACAGGCAAAAGAAGCAGAUGGGUAUCAUUGAUAAAGACGUCAAGCGCAUUCAGAGGUCUCUCACAAGUGCCAUUCAUAAUCUUAAGGACGACAAGGGUGAUAUUAAGCUGGACAGGGAUUUUCUGAAGGAGGAGGUGCAUAAGCUGAACGAGAAUAGAAGCAAGAUGCAAAGUGCCAUCUAUGAUCUUUUGGGGCAAGGGUUUGCGAACACUGAUGACCUCCUGAUGAUCAAGGCAAUCCUUGAAGAAUGA
This 402-nucleotide ribosomal RNA is filed under the name Triticum aestivum (bread wheat). RNAcentral's name for it is "partial small subunit ribosomal RNA". The record is from RNAcentral. Lineage: Eukaryota; Viridiplantae; Streptophyta; Magnoliopsida; Poales; Poaceae.